This is a non-coding RNA of Misgurnus anguillicaudatus (oriental weatherfish), 470 nucleotides long. The record is from RefSeq and is a predicted model, not a curated record. NCBI's taxonomy places the organism in Eukaryota, Metazoa, Chordata, Actinopteri, Cypriniformes, Cobitidae.
UAUGACAGAUUAUCUCGCGAGAUAACGUCACGCGUUCUUCCGGAAGUUCACAUUCAAACAGGAGGAGCGGUUACGAGGGAGUUUUGUCUAUAUAUUAUGCAAAAUCUACUGUUGGGAAAAGCAGAACCUCAUCCAAAUAAAAAUAAACAAGCUGUUAAAGGCACUGUGUCCUACACAGACCCUCCAAAAUAUAACCACCCAAAACCCAAGUCAGUUGAAGAUCAACACAAACCAAAUGAAGAUGCACAUUCUACAAACAAUAAAAAAAAGAUCAAGUUUUGUGUCCAACACACUUGGAUGAGACGUGCCCGACCCCUGACUUUGUCUACCCUACAUUAAGUUGCACACUUCAUGACAGUAAACAUCUGUAUCAAGAUGGUGUGAUUGAUCUAUACCCUAGAAUAAGCUGUGACACUAUGAGACGGUCACAUAAUGAACAGCCAUCUUACAGACACCCGAAAGAGGCAUAG